CCUGAAGGAACGUUGAAGACGACGACGUUGAUAGGCCGGGUGUGUAAGCGCAGCGAUGCGUUGAGCUAACCGGUACUAAUGAACCGUGAGGCUUAACCUUA
This 101-nucleotide ribosomal RNA is filed under the name Klebsiella quasipneumoniae. RNAcentral describes it as "23S rRNA. Bacterial LSU". It matches the Rfam family "Bacterial large subunit ribosomal RNA", at positions 2826 to 2925 of the family's 2925-position model. Lineage: Bacteria; Pseudomonadati; Pseudomonadota; Gammaproteobacteria; Enterobacterales; Enterobacteriaceae. The record is from RNAcentral.